Non-coding RNA from Cucumis sativus (cucumber), 96 nucleotides. The record is from Rfam. Lineage: Eukaryota; Viridiplantae; Streptophyta; Magnoliopsida; Cucurbitales; Cucurbitaceae.
GAACCAUAUGACGAAUCUGGAUUCAAAUUCUCACGACGGUCGUCUGAGACGCAUUACGUGUCCAACUGAUGCAAUGAUCCAUUUUUUCUGAUGGUC